Nannospalax galili (Upper Galilee mountains blind mole rat) is the source of this 573-nucleotide long non-coding RNA. RefSeq lists it as uncharacterized. The transcript is spliced from 2 exons. The record is from RefSeq and is a predicted model, not a curated record. Lineage: Eukaryota; Metazoa; Chordata; Mammalia; Rodentia; Spalacidae.
UCCCUAAAAGCAGGCAAGGGAGGGGUGGUGCUUAGCCUUGAAACAGCCCAACUACUCUCCAUUUUUGCCCCUUCCUCCUUUCUAAACCCCGUGUGGACCUGGAACUGAAAAAAAUUGAGAGCUGUGGCUGUCCUUGGAACCUUCCCUUGCAGGUUGGCUGGAGUGAUGGCAUCCUCGCCCUGUAAGCUCAGCCCAGAGAAAUCAAUCCACCUUGCCUGUUCCCCGGGCUCUCACCUGAACGCACCACCACCUGGCGUGUAGAAUCUCCAGGAAGCUUGGCUGCUGCUUCCCAUUUGGUUACCAGGGGAAGUGCCGUGGAAAUUUCCCCUUGACCUUGUCUAUGACUUGAUCUGUUCUUGCCUGGAAGUGUGGCCUUUGGUUGUAGGGCUAUCCCCAGAGGCUGCUAAAAUGCAGUGGUUAAGGACAGAAACUUGGGUGCCAGGCCACCCAAGCUCCACCAUUCGCGACCUCUGUGACUUUGUGGAAUUUUUGCAUCUUUAAAAUGGGAGUAUUUGUACCUACCUCAUAAAGCUGUUGUGAGGAUUAAAUAAUACAGUAUGUAUUGAACACUUA